This is a non-coding RNA of Coffea arabica (coffee), 1291 nucleotides long. The record is from RefSeq and is a predicted model, not a curated record. NCBI's taxonomy places the organism in Eukaryota, Viridiplantae, Streptophyta, Magnoliopsida, Gentianales, Rubiaceae.
UUCCAUGGACUAAUCUUCUUGGGUUGACAAUAUAAGCUUCUAGAUGGAUUAGAUAUGUAAGCAUUUGCUGAAAUAAAGGAAUGGAGCCCAAAUGUUUGCGAAUUGAAGGGGAUGCUGAUGGUAAGAAUCCCAGUUCAGUCCUUUCCCCGUCUCUCUGUCUCUUUGUCGUCUUUUUUUUUUUUUUUAAAAUAUAUAUAUAUUCUGGGUAAAGAAAACAAAGUCAUAAUAUUUUUUGGUAGUAAAAUGUUAAAAUAAAAUUGAUGGAUUCAGUUCCGAUUACCAUCACAUAUCAAAGUAUAUCUUUAAAACAAUAACUUAUUUACAGAACGUUUACCAACACAGUUCUUACAUCAACAAUAAAUUUUGGAAACACGAUCAUUCUCAUGAAAGUAGAUCAAUCUCACUUGCAUAUGAAACUUAGUCAAUUCAAAUACACUGAUCCAAACAAAUACCAUAUAAGACUCCUCUCACAGAGUGUACAUUGAUCAAUGUCAAACAUAUUCAAAUAAAAUUUUAAGUUAAAUUGUUCUAAAGCGAAUUGGGAACCACCAAUAGGAUUACAUAUAAAAUUAAACAUAGGGUCUAUUCGGUAACUUUUUAGGAAAUAAAAUUUUAAAAAACAGCAUCUAUAGUAAUACACAAAAAUACCCAGAAGGUCUAAUAAAAUGAAAAAAAAAAAGAGCUAAAUAUGGUAAUGACGGCGGAGGCCGGUAGCAGCGGUGGAUGGCGAGUAGCACGCGAGGUAAAAAGGGGGAUAUUUGGAAAAAAAAAGAGUGUUUUGGACAUAUAUCAGUAUUUUUAAAAAAAUAAAUAUAAUAAAAUUUUAGAUAAACACCUAAUAAACAUGUCAUCCAAACAGACUCAUAAUUUCAGAAAAUAUAUGUUUGGAUAAGAGAUUAUUUUAAAUAAUUACUGUAACACUUGGAUAAGAGAUUAUUUUGGAUAGGAAACUAUUUAAAAUAUUAUUUAUAAUAAUUAUUGUAAUACUUUUUAUGAUGUGAUAUAUGUGAGAUAAAAAGGUAAUUAGAAAAAUAAAAAGUGUGCUGAAAAAUAUGUUUGUGAUAUAAAUAAAUAUUUUUUGACAAAAAAUUACAAUCUAUGUACAUUAUUUAAGUUUGGAUUUUAGGAAUAUCAAAAUCUCAACUUUCUAGAAGUUGUUAGCUUGAUUUGUAUUCGUGUUGAGUGUUCGACCAAAUUUCCCAAGAAGAAAAAAAAAAAUCACGCAAGUAUUACGCUUUGUCAUUGUUCAAAUGACCAAAGAAAUCAGCUAAAUAAAUGUAUCAAAAAAAAA